This 253-nucleotide ribosomal RNA is filed under the name uncultured bacterium. RNAcentral's name for it is "partial 16S ribosomal RNA". It matches the Rfam family "Bacterial small subunit ribosomal RNA", at positions 524 to 776 of the family's 1533-position model. The record is from RNAcentral.
UACGUAGGCAGCGAGCGUUGUUCGGAGUUACUGGGCGUAAAGGGUGCGUAGGCGGUUGUUUAAGUUUGGUGUGAAAUCUCCCGGCUCAACUGGGAGGGUGCGCCGAAUACUGAAUGACUAGAGUGCGGGAGAGGAGAGUGGAAUUCCUGGUGUAGCGGUGAAAUGCGCAGAUAUCAGGAGGAACACCGGUGGCGAAGGCGGGUCUCUGGGCAGAUACUGACGCUGAGGCACGAAAGCGUGGGGAGCAAACAGG